UACGUAGGGCGCAAGCGUUGUCCGGAAUUAUUGGGCGUAAAGAGCUCGUAGGCGGUUUGUCGCGUCUGCUGUGAAAGCCCGGGGCUCAACCCCGGGUCUGCAGUGGGUACGGGCAGACUAGAGUGCAGUAGGGGAGACUGGAAUUCCUGGUGUAGCGGUGAAAUGCGCAGAUAUCAGGAGGAACACCGAUGGCGAAGGCAGGUCCUGCUGGGUCUGUUGACUGACGCUGAGGAAGCGGAAAGCAUGGGGCGA
Molecule: ribosomal RNA, 252 nt
Filed under: uncultured bacterium
Lineage: Bacteria
Description: partial 16S ribosomal RNA
Rfam family: Bacterial small subunit ribosomal RNA
Source: RNAcentral